CACACUUUCACUCACCCACAACCCAUGCCACUCCCUCCUCUAGCAGCUCGUGCUCUCGUCCUCUCUAUCUCCGUCGUCGACUUUGUCCUCUCGUCCUCUCGAUGAGUUGCUACAAUCGAUUUAGAGGGCCAAUGGUGUAUGGAUGCUUGUACUGCGCCAGUUCAUAUUUGAAAGAACUUUCGUCUUUGAUUUUGCAGACUCAAAAACUUUGAAAGAAAAGAAGAGGGAGGAAUUGUUUGAAGAUUUGAAGGCUAACGAGUCAUUUGGAUGGGCUGUUGAUGUCUUAGAUCCUCGAGAACUUUCAUCUAAACUGCUAAAUAAGGAGUCGGACAAAGUGGAUGAAGAUGUGGCAAUGGCGGGAAGUGGUAAAAAGCAAUUAAAACUAAGCAAUCUUGGUAUCACCACAUCAAAGAGAAAGAGUGAAGAAAUUGAAUCAAAUGCCAAAGGACGGUGCAAGUUUUUCCAGGCUAGAUAGGAAGAUUGCAUUGGACAUGUUUUAAGAAGGUUGAUAAGUGGAGAAGGUGCAUCCAACACAAAAAGGACUUCAUAACAACAUUAAUAACAAAUACAAGAUAAUAUUUAAAGUUGUUUAUCUUAAAAGUCUAUUUGUUCUAAAGUUUUGGAUUAGAUUCAUUGUUGGAAUACUAUAACUAUCCUACAGUUAUGGUAGUCAUAGCCAGUCCUCUAAAUAUACUGACGCCAAUGGUACCAUCAAACUCUUGAAUGGACAUGCCAUGCAUAACAUGAACGAUGUAGACAUGAUCCGUAUCAAUUUGAACGAGCAUAUAUUUUGAAGAAACAAAUUUAUUUAUUUAGGCCGCGAUGAUCUGAUCUAAUAUUGUAAUAUGGUUGAAAUAGGUUACAUGUGUAUUUUGACAUACAUUGCGUAAGUAUUACUCAUCUAGAUUCACUCAUGUAUAUUUUGUUUUAUGUUUAAAUAAUAACUUUUACUUUGUUUAGGUAUAUUUGGGAUGAAUGUGGUUGUGAUAUUACGAAGAAGUUUUUUAUAAUUGAUCAAGCAAGAAUAUCGCCACACGUGAAGUCUCAAGAUAUUCGAUCCAGAAAUUUAGCCAACCAACUAGAAUGGGCUAAUUUGGACCAAUUAGUCCUUAUUCCAUAUAACACAGGUUAUCAUUGGAUAUUGAUUGUAAUCAAUCUACAAGAAUAUUGUGUUUAUGUUUUGGA
Non-coding RNA from Benincasa hispida (wax gourd), 1185 nucleotides. The record is from RefSeq and is a predicted model, not a curated record. Lineage: Eukaryota; Viridiplantae; Streptophyta; Magnoliopsida; Cucurbitales; Cucurbitaceae.